UACGUAGGGUGCAAGCGUUUAUCCGGAAUUAUUGGGCGUAAAGAGCUCGUAGGCGGUUUGUCGCGUCUGCUGUGAAAACUGGGGGCUCAACCCCCAGCCUGCAGUGGGUACGGGCAGACUAGAGUGCGGUAGGGGAGAUUGGAAUUCCUGGUGUAGCGGUGGAAUGCGCAGAUAUCAGGAAGAACACCGAUGGCGAAGGCAGUUCUCUGGGCCGUAACUGACGCUGAGGAGCGAAAGCGUGGGGAGCGAACAGG
Molecule: ribosomal RNA, 254 nt
Filed under: uncultured bacterium
Lineage: Bacteria
Description: partial 16S ribosomal RNA
Rfam family: Bacterial small subunit ribosomal RNA
Source: RNAcentral